Molecule: transfer RNA, 74 nt
Filed under: Veillonella parvula
Lineage: Bacteria; Bacillati; Bacillota; Negativicutes; Veillonellales; Veillonellaceae
Also listed under: 2 other names
Description: tRNA-Lys
Rfam family: tRNA
About the family: Transfer RNA (tRNA) molecules are approximately 80 nucleotides in length. Their secondary structure includes four short double-helical elements and three loops (D, anti-codon, and T loops).
Source: RNAcentral
GGACCACUAGCUCAGCUGGCAGAGCACCUGACUCUUAAUCAGGGUGUCCAGGGUUCGAACCUGGUGGUCCACCA